CCUUCCCCAUACUCCUUCUCAUUAUAAGAUGAGUCUGGAAAGUUUUUUCGCUAAAGGAUUGGGCUAUAUGGUAUCAGCUUGUUGGUGAGGUAACGGCUCACCAAGGCUAUGACGCCUAACUGGUCUGAGAGGAUGAUCAGUCACACUGGAACUGAGACACGGUCCAGACUCCUACGGGAGGCAGCAGUGGGGAAUAUUACACAAUGGAGGAAACUCUGAUGUAGCAACGCCGCGUGGAGGAUGACACAUUUCGGUGCGUAAACUCCUUUUAUAUGGGAAGAUAAUGACGGUACCAUAUGAAUAAGCACCGGCUAACUCCGUGCCAGCAGUCGCGGUAAUACGGAGGGUGCAAGCGUUACUCGGAAUCACUGGGCGUAAAGCGCAUGUAGGCGGUCUUGUAAGUUGGGUGUGAAAGCCUAUGGCUCAACCAUAGAACUGCACCCAAAACUACUAGACUAGAGUCUGGGAGAGGAAAAUGGAAUUAGUUGUGUAGGGGUAAAAUCCGUAGAGAUAACUAGGAAUACCAAAAGCGAAGGCAAUUUUCUGGAACAUUACUGACGCUCAGAUGCGAAAGCGUGGGUAGCAAACAGGAUUAGAUACCCUGGUAGUCCACGCCCUAAACGAUGAAUGUUAGUCGUCGGGAGGCUCGUCCUUUCGGUGAUGCAGCUAACGCAUUAAACAUUCCGCCUGGGGAGUACGGUCGCAAGAUUAAAACUCAAAGGAAUAGACGGGGACCCGCACAAGUGGUGGAGCAUGUGGUUUAAUUCGAAGAUACGCGAAGAACCUUACCUAGCCUUGACAUUGAUAGAAUCCGAUGGAAACAUUGGAGUGCCAGUUUACUGGAGCUUGAAAACAGGUGCUGCACGGCUGUCGUCAGCUCGUGUCGUGAGAUGUUGGGUUAAGUCCCGCAACGAGCGCAACCCUCGUCCUUAGUUACUAACGGUUCGGCCGAGGACUCUAAGGAGACUGCCUUCGUAAGGAGGAGGAAGGUGAGGACGACGUCAAGUCAUCAUGGCCCUUACGGCUAGGGCGACGCACGUGCUACAAUGGAUAGGACAAUGAGACGCAAUACCGCGAGGUGGAGCAAAUCUAUAAACCUAUUCUCAGUUCGGAUUGUAGUCUGCAACUCGACUACAUGAAGCUGGAAUCACUAGUAAUCGUAGAUCAGCCAUGCUACGGUGAAUACGUUCCCGGGUCUUGUACUCACCGCCCGUCACACCAUGGGAGUUGAUUUCACCCGAAGCGGGGAAGCUAAACUGGCUACCCUCCACGGUGGAAUCAGCGACUGGGGUGAAGUCGUAACAAGGUAACCAAGGGC
RNAcentral lists this ribosomal RNA (1318 nucleotides) under uncultured Campylobacterota bacterium. RNAcentral describes it as "bacterial SSU rRNA". It matches the Rfam family "Bacterial small subunit ribosomal RNA", at positions 165 to 1507 of the family's 1533-position model. Lineage: Bacteria; Pseudomonadati; Campylobacterota. The record is from RNAcentral.